GAUGAACGCUGGCGGCGUGCCUAAUACAUGCAAGUCGAGCGAAUGGAUUAAGAGCUUGCUCUUAUGAAGUUAGCGGCGGACGGGUGAGUAACACGUGGGUAACCUGCCCAUAAGACUGGGAUAACUCCGGGAAACCGGGGCUAAUACCGGAUAACAUUUUGAACCGCAUGGUUCGAAAUUGAAAGGCGGCUUCGGCUGUCACUUAUGGAUGGACCAGCGUCGCAUUAGCUAGUUGGUGAGGUAACGGCUCACCAAGGCAACGAUGCGUAGCCGACCUGAGAGGGUGAUCGGCCACACUGGGACUGAGACACGGCCCAGACUCCUACGGGAGGCAGCAGUAGGGAAUCUUCCGCAAUGGACGAAAGUCUGACGGAGCAACGCCGCGUGAGUGAUGAAGGCUUUCGGGUCGUAAAACUCUGUUGUUAGGGAAGAACAAGUGCUAGUUGAAUAAGCUGGCACCUUGACGGUACCUAACCAGAAAGCCACGGCUAACUACAUGCCAGCCGCCGCCGUAA
RNAcentral lists this ribosomal RNA (515 nucleotides) under uncultured bacterium. Its description in RNAcentral is "partial 16S ribosomal RNA". It matches the Rfam family "Bacterial small subunit ribosomal RNA", at positions 28 to 523 of the family's 1533-position model. The record is from RNAcentral.